CUCCGCUUCCAUCCAGCAGGGAGGGGCAGAAACGCGAAGGUGAACUCUAAGGAAGUUUUCUACCAAAACGAAUUACUGCUAUCUGUCUCCUUCCAGCUGUAGGAAUGUCAAACUCCCGGGGCUGGACCGAGAGUCUCUUGCUUUGUUUGGAGAUUUUGCCUGUUUUUUUUGUUUGUUUGUUUGUUUUUGAUUUCCAAGUCCUUAUAACAAGCCAAGCAAGCUCUCUCCCUCUAGCUACACCCGGAACCCAGAAGUGUUUAAGCAAGCAUUUUGUAUGACUCUGACGCAUAUCCCGUCUGUUCACAACUAUUUGUAACUCCAGUUCCAAGGGAUCCAACACCCUCUUCUGAUCGGAGGGCACCAGCACUAGGGAGGCAGAGGCAGGCGGAUCUCUGUGAGUUUGAGGUCUACAAAGCUACACAGAGAAACCCUGUCUUGAAAAAAACUGCUUUUCAUAAUAAAGAGACAUGCCAACUCCUGGAAGCACCUCUAUUUCCUCCAAAGGACACAAAGAUGGAUGGGCACAGAAGGACCUUCACCCUUGUUUCUUAAGUGGCAGUGCUAGCCACUGAGCAAACCUGCUUUUCACCUCAACUUCUGCACAGACCCCUCCAGACCAUGAACAACAGGACACCGGGGAAUCUACUGCCUUGAGUUGCCUAGGGCAAAGGAGGUUGGUCUUCCUACAAACUCCUAAUCCACAAGAUCCUCUGAAGCCUGGCAGGCCUAAACCUAACAACAGAAGAUUGAUGAUGUCCUCAGUGACCAUGGAAGACCCUGGGGAGUGACUGUUCAGGCGGCCAAGGAACUUACUCUACAGUGACUGCCCUCAGCCCUGCCUCCUGAGUGUUAAG
Molecule: long non-coding RNA, 854 nt
Filed under: Cricetulus griseus (Chinese hamster)
Lineage: Eukaryota; Metazoa; Chordata; Mammalia; Rodentia; Cricetidae
Description: lncRNA (ENSCGRG00015033851.1)
Source: RNAcentral